CAGUCGCCACGGUAAUACGUAGGUGGCAAGCGUUGUCCGGAAUUAUUGGGCGUAAAGGGCUCGCAGGCGGUUUCUUAAGUCUGAUGUGAAAGCCCCCGGCUCAACCGGGGAGGGUCAUUGGAAAUUGGGAAACUUGAGUGCAGAAGAGGAGAGUGGAAUUCCACGUGUAGCGGUGAAAUGCGUAGAGACGUGGAGGAACACCAGUGGCGAAGGCGACUCUCUGGUCUGUAACUGACGCUGAGGAGCGAAAGCGUGGGGAGCGAACAGGAUUAGAUACCCCCGUAGUCCCUGUCUCUUAUAC
This 301-nucleotide ribosomal RNA is filed under the name uncultured bacterium. RNAcentral describes it as "partial 16S ribosomal RNA". It matches the Rfam family "Bacterial small subunit ribosomal RNA", at positions 509 to 807 of the family's 1533-position model. The record is from RNAcentral.